CAGAAUUCACGAAUCAUCAGCCUCGAGGACAAGGCUGAUUUGAAGAGGGCGGGUCUGUUAGGACUCUAGCUUUGAGAGUCCUAAUUUAGAGGGACAUUCAUGUAAAACUAUUAGGACUCUAGCUAGGAGAGUCCUAAUUGAGAGGGACAUUCUGUUAGGACUCUAGCUAGGAGAGUCCUAAUUGAGAGGGGCAUUCAUGUAGGAGGUUUUUUCUUAUAGAAGAAUUAGGAGUUGUAAGGGAAUAGGAGUCUUGAGUAGGAGUCCUAUUAGG
This 271-nucleotide long non-coding RNA is filed under the name Musa acuminata (dwarf banana). RNAcentral's name for it is "long non-coding RNA (MACU_LNC009086)". Lineage: Eukaryota; Viridiplantae; Streptophyta; Magnoliopsida; Zingiberales; Musaceae. The record is from RNAcentral.